RNAcentral lists this transfer RNA (80 nucleotides) under Camelus bactrianus (Bactrian camel). It matches the Rfam family "tRNA". Rfam says of the family: Transfer RNA (tRNA) molecules are approximately 80 nucleotides in length. Their secondary structure includes four short double-helical elements and three loops (D, anti-codon, and T loops). Further hydrogen bonds mediate the characteristic L-shaped molecular structure. tRNAs have two regions of fundamental functional importance: the anti-codon, which is responsible for specific mRNA codon recognition, and the 3' end, to which the tRNAs corresponding amino acid is attached (by aminoacyl-tRNA synthetases). tRNAs cope with the degeneracy of the genetic code in two manners: having more than one tRNA (with a specific anti-codon) for a particular amino acid; and 'wobble' base-pairing, i.e. permitting non-standard base-pairing at the 3rd anti-codon position. RNAcentral also lists the same sequence under 1 other name. The record is from Rfam by way of RNAcentral. Lineage: Eukaryota; Metazoa; Chordata; Mammalia; Artiodactyla; Camelidae.
GAGGGUAUAGCUCAAGUGGUAGAGUGCCUGCUUAGCAUGCUUAGCAUGGGAGAUCCUGGGUUCAAUUCCCAGUACCUACU